ACUCCCGCCUGCCAGCCCUCAACUCCCGGUCGGGUUGUCUCCCCGCCGGUCUCCCGCCCCCAGCUACCGGGUCCGCCAGGGUCAGGAGCCCGAGAUUCGCCGCCCGUCGUAGCGGCCCGCUUCGGCCCCUCGGGGCCCGGGGCUCUCCGGGACCUACACAGCCCGGGAGACUCCGGCGGGGCUGCCUGCCCUCGCCCGAGCCCGGGGGCCCAAGCUGCGGCAGCGGCUCCCAACGCCUCUGCUCGAGGAGAGCGGCGGCCUGGAUGCCCCAGCGCCCUCCCUGUCCAGUUCCUUGAAGGCCCCCAAGAGGGGCGAGGCCGGGGAGGUGCUGGAGCGGGGCCAAGUGAGCUUUCGGGGCCGCGGUUGAACUGGAGUCUUGAGUGCGCUGCGGUCAGUGGAGGCCCUUCCACCCUCGCCGCGCCCCGUGGGGAAUAGUCCCCCACCUCCCGCCAUGGCUGCAGCAGGAGGAGACGACGUCCUCCAUUUUGUCGGGACAACUGUGGGAACUUGGGACCCCUCAAAACCAAACCCCGUGGGGCCAGGACUUGUCCCGGAAGCCCCGACUGGGCUCUGCCAUUCGGACAAGGGAACAGCCCCAGCUGCCGGCGUCUGCGUCCGCGGGGCAGUACUGGUCGGGCGCGACGGUGGAGACACCCAGACGCAGCUCCCCGCCUCCAUCAACCAAGAUGGAGGGAGCUGCAGGCUCCCUUGGAGCUGGGCUCUCGCGGGUUGGAGGGGCUGAGGCCUGCCCUGGGGCGUCCCUGGGCGCCGCCGUCCUGUGCUAGCAGCCCGGGGCGCUGGCCCUGCCUAGGCCUUUUUACUGCCUGCCACCGUCUCCUGGUCCGGAAUGGUUGAUGGAGACUCCAUGGAGGCUCCCUCCACAGCCCGCUCUAUCGCGGGGCGCACCCGCUGCGGCCCCUGCGGGGAGCAGAAUCAGGGACAGAUGGCGCCCGGUGAGGGCGGGCCCCACAGGCCACCUCCACGAGGGGUCUUCUCUUUUGUUCCUCGUCUACACCUACGUCUUCGGCGGAUGUCAUGGUGCUGAACCAUUUCCCGGACUCCACGUAAAGAUGGAAGCGAUUCCGCUUUCGUCUCGCCCUGGCGGUUCUUAGUGGGAUUACAAUUGAGGAUGUUAGUUUGGAUGAAAGUUGGUGAAAUACUUACCUUAUGUCUGGAAAUACAGAUAAUGUGAUUUUUAAAAAACACAUUGAGCCCCGUUUUACUUCUGUGGUAUGGUAAAGGCACAGGUUUAUUCAAUGAAAAUCAGACGUUAACCAUCUAAUGCAGGGGUGGCCAAUCUUUUGGCUUCCCGGGGCCACAUUGGAAGAAUUGGCUUGGGCCACACAUAAAAUACGCUAACAGUAACAAUAGCUGAUGAGCUAAAACAAACGAAAAAACCAAAACGCCAAAAAAAUCUCAUAACGUUUUAAGAAAAUUUACAAAUAUGUGUUGGGCUGCAUUCAAAGCCGUCCUGGGCCGCAUGCAACCCCCAAGGGCUGCAGGUUGGACAAGCUUGAUCUAAGACAAAAGCAUGUUCACGGAUUGAUGAGAGUUCUGUGUAAGCCUUUGCAUAUUGCAUAGUGCUGUAUGUCAUGGAUAUGCCUAAUAUCACCUACAUUUUUUAGGUCCUCAGUUACUCUUUGGAAAUAAGUGAAUUACAUGUAAUGUCAUCAUUUUAAUGACUGCUGUAAAUUACAAGCACUGACUACCCUGAGUUCGUGGAGAAGGGCUCCAUAGAGAAAAUUUGAAGGUCUGACAGAAACUUUAAAUGGUAAGCUCAGUAGCCACUUGUCAUCUAUUUUCUGAUUAUCUUUUUCACAAUUUUUUGGCAUUGAUACUGUUCAAAGAUUAAAAUUGGGUAACAUUUCUUUUUCCUGAUAGUGGCAGGAAUGACAGGUUCAUGUCCCAAUGAAAACGCUCACCUCAGUAUGCUGCCAUGAUUUCGAGGGUUGUCGAAAAUUUAGGAAAAAAAAGUCUUCAUUGUUCAACAAGAUAGUGUCAUUUAUUGUAAAUCUUUUGAUAAUUCAGGACUCCCGGCUAAUACAAAGUCACAGCAUUAUGACCAAGUCUACACAAAGGGGCCAGAUAGCCUGCCUUUGAAUCGUACUUUAUUACUAGUAGCUGUGUGAUCAUCUUAACAGAUAAGUUACUUAAACUCAGCCUCACUUUUAUCAUUUAAAAAAUGUAACAAAUACUUAAGAUUUUUUUUUUUUGAGAAUUAAAUGAAUUGGCCGGGCACAAUGGCCCACGCCUGUAAUCCCAGCUAUUUGGGAGGCUGAGGCAGGAGAAUCACUUGAACCCAGGAGGUGGAGGUUGCAGUGAGCCGAGACUGCAUCACUGCACUCCAGUCUGGGCAACACAGCAAGACUGUAUCUCAAAAAAAGAAAAACAAAAAACAAGCAAAAAAAGAAUUAAAUAAAUUAUCACACAUAUGACACUUAGAAUUGCACCUGGCACAUUAAUUAAUAAAAGCUUGUAAAUUUUGCCUGUCAUUGUUAAUUCCCAAUCAGCACAGUGGUACACUAAAAAAAAAAUUCUGGCCCGGUGCGGUGGCUCACACUUGUAAUCCCAGCACUUUGGAAGGCCGAGACGGGCAGAUCACCUGAGGUCAGGAGUUUGAGACCAGCUUGACCAACAUGGCGAAACCCCGUCCCUACUAAAAGUACAAAAGUAGCCGGGCGUGGUGGCGCAUGCCUGUAAUUCCAGAUACUCGGGAGGCUGAGGCAGGAGAAUCACUUGUACCUGGGAGGUGGGGUUGCGGUGAGCCGAGAUUGCACCAUUGCACCCCAGACUGGGCAACAAGGGCGAAACUCCGUCUCAAAAACUAACUAAAUAAAUAGGAAAAAAUUCUUCCAGCCUAGGUAACAUAGUGGGACCCAGUCUCUACAAAAAAUUUUAAAAAUUAGCCAGAAGUGGUGCAUGCCUGUAGUCCCAGCUACUCAGGAGGCCGAGGUGGGAGGAUCACUUGAGCCCAGGAGGUCAAAGCUGCAGUGAGCCAUGAUUGUGCCACUGCACUCCAGCAUCUGGGUGCAGAGUGAGACCCUGUCUCAAAAACAAAAAAAAAAGUUGUUUAUAAUAAUUUAAUGACUUAUUAAAGUAACAUCAGCACUUUCUUACUAUUGUAAUAUGAAAAUAUUUAAUUCUUGGAGUUAAUAUGUAAAAUAAACCGUAGAGGAAAUGUAA
RNAcentral lists this long non-coding RNA (3183 nucleotides) under Homo sapiens (human). Its description in RNAcentral is "non-protein coding lnc-ZMYM2-12:1". Lineage: Eukaryota; Metazoa; Chordata; Mammalia; Primates; Hominidae. The record is from RNAcentral.